RNAcentral lists this long non-coding RNA (548 nucleotides) under Pandoravirus neocaledonia. Its description in RNAcentral is "hypothetical ncRNA". The record is from RNAcentral.
GUACGGUAGUUGGCGCGCGACAUGUCUCGUCUCUUUCCUCUGGGUGGAUGUGGAUCGAGGGCGGCGGGGGUGCGACAGGGACUCGUGCGGGGGAGGGAGCAGGGUGAGGGCGUGCGCGACUGGCGGCCGUGCGUGUGUCGUCGUCUUCUGUGCGUUCACUCUCUUUCCUCCUUGGUUUCGCCUCCUUCUCGUCGUGGCCUGGCGUGUCUCGUCUUUGUUUGGUCCAGUAGAAGCUUGACCUCCCUCCUCUUUUCCUCUCCUUUCGUGGCUGGCGGCGCGUAUGUGGCCCGCUCGUGUGGCCCCUCUGCGGGUUGUGUGUCGCCGGUCGCGCCCUCUCUCUCUCUCUCUUGCGCCCUCCUUCCCUUUUUCUCCCUCUUUUUCUUGUGCGCGUUGGAACGCUGCCCUUUCUUUUCACUCGGUUCUUUGCCUCUUCUUUGCGUUGUUGCAGUUGCCCUUAUCUGGGCGUGCCUGUGUCCUUUGUCCCAGACGACGGCGGCCGGCGGUGCCUCACAAAACCGUGAGGAAAAACGACAACCAACAAAGGCACU